Long non-coding RNA from Myripristis murdjan (pinecone soldierfish), 1436 nucleotides. RefSeq lists it as uncharacterized. NCBI's taxonomy places the organism in Eukaryota, Metazoa, Chordata, Actinopteri, Holocentriformes, Holocentridae. The record is from RefSeq and is a predicted model, not a curated record. The transcript is spliced from 2 exons.
AAGCACCUUAGAGGACAAAAAGAGCACAGAUCAGCAACUUAGGAGAGCUUAGUUUCGCCCACCCACAGAUUUAAACCUGUACACGACAAGAUUUUAUGUAAAAAACCCACAUCCAUCUCUUCAGCCAAAAUAUAUAAAAAACCCCAUUUUGGACCGCAAGAGAGGAGAAAGAGUUCCAUCAUCAUUAUUUUCUUGAUUAAAUAAAAUACUAAAGACGUUUUUAUCCCAAGAGUGCGCAGCUUACUGAUCUCCUGUUACAUAACUUCUGGGCGAUGAAGUCCAUCAAACUUUGAAAAAUCCAGUUGUCGCCUGCAGCCGUUCAGGGGCGACAAAAAGUGCAAAGUUCCUCUUAUCCCUCGCCCGACCCACUAACCCUGGAUGUCACACACUCCUGGGAACAUCACCACGACAUAACGAGGGCUGACUGAGCCACAGUGUGUGUGUGUGUGUGUGUGUGUGUGUGUGUGUGUAAGUUGUGCUAUUUAUUCGACUGUGGUGGUGGGGGGGUGCUGUCUCAGUGAAUGUGUGUGUGUGUGUGUGUGUGUGCAUGGCUGUUCCGUCAGUGUGAACAUGAAACGUCGAAGCUGUGUUUCCCCUCGUUCGCUGUGAUGGACGGGAGGUCAGCGGGACUUUCUCGCCAGAUUGAGUUUGACAUAUCCGCAGUUUGAAAAGCUCAAACUACUUGCACAGGAGGAUGAAUGGCAAAAAAAGAAAAGAAAUUGUGGUACUUUUUAAAAUAUAUAUAUAUAUAUAUAAAGGUACCACUAAUGAUACCAUUAAAAGGCACAAUGAGUAGGAUUUGUCAGGUGUGGUUUGUAAACACAACAUUCAAAGUUAGCCCCUCCUCCCUGGCUAAGCUCGCUACAUUUCCUUUUUUCUGCAGUCUGCAUCCGCGAUUUUCAUGGCUUCCAAUUGGAUGCGGUGCUAUUUAUCUGCGCUGUGAUUGGCCCAGAAGAGUCCUGAGCUCAGCAAAAGACGAAAAUCCAGAUGUAGUGCACGGACUCUGCAGACACACACACCAACACAUACUCACUCCUACUCAUCCUGCCUUUAAAUAGACUGAACCUUCAAUAUUUUUGAGAUCUUUAAUAUUGUUUUUUUUCCUUUUGUUUAAUUAUUAGCUUCACAAAUGGAUAUAUUGCGUUGUUGAAUAUAACUUUUCAUAUGUCUGGUCUUCCACUCCUGAACUGAGCUUAACUUUGAGAGCUGCCUGGGUUUUUUUCCUCACUCCCAGUAAACAGUGGCUGAUGGUCGUCCCAGUCUCCUUUUUUUAUUUAUUAUUAUUAUUAAUUUUUUUUUUGGAGACAUUCACUCUCGACAACAACAGGUGAUAAAAGCAGAGAGCACAGGGACAAAUGGACAGUCUCAAAAAUACUGUUGAAGACAUUUAUAUUCAGUCAGUAUUUUAUGACCAUCCAAGUAUAAAAAAAAAAAAG